Molecule: ribosomal RNA, 253 nt
Filed under: uncultured bacterium
Lineage: Bacteria
Description: partial 16S ribosomal RNA
Rfam family: Bacterial small subunit ribosomal RNA
Source: RNAcentral
UACGAAGGGUGCAAGCGUUACUCGGAAUUACUGGGCGUAAAGCGUGCGUAGGUGGUUUGUUAAGUCUGUUGUGAAAGCCCAGGGCUCAACCUGGGAAUGGCAAUGGAUACUGGCAAGCUAGAGUGCGGUAGAGGGUAGUGGAAUUCCCGGUGUAGCGGUGAAAUGCGUAGAGAUCGGGAGGAACACCAGUGGCGAAGGCGGCUACCUGGACCAGCACUGACACUGAGGCACGAAAGCGUGGGGAGCAAACAGG